CAAUCAUCAUCUGUUUUUGGUUAUGCGAAGGUGUCUUUGGAUCGUCAUGAGAAGCCCCGAGGUGAGGCUACUUCCCAAUGUUGAUUAUUUGAAAAGUUGUGGGAUUCUUGGGACUCAACUUGCAACUCUUUAUAGGGGGCCUGGUUUCUAAGGUUUUGGAUCUGAUUCAAGAAUGUUGGCUCACAUGCUUCAUUCUUUUAGUUGUGUUAGUGGUGGGACUUUUUAGGAGUUAUGCCUUCUCGGAGGAGUGUAUGGGAAUGAUUAGGAGGUCCCCAACACUGCUCAGGACUUGAGAGGAGAAGUUGAAGCUUGGGAUUGAGUUUUUCUUGAACAAAAUCGAAGCAGAGAAAUCUGAUUUAUUAUAUCGGCCUUCGUUGUUGAUGUUUAGCAUGGAGGAGCGGGUGCUUCCGAGGUACCAAGUUUUGAAUCUUGUAAACUCCAAAAUGCUGAGGCUGACUUUUUGGAAAAAAUAUAUAGCAAGGUUCCCUGAGGAAGCAGAGGAAUUGUUGAUGGCUUACAAGGGCCAUCUUCUAGUUUUAGAUGGGUAAUAUAGAUUUUUGCUCACAGGAAUUUCUCACCUGUUCAAAUUUGGGCAUGCUUAACUUCAAAGUUGUGUUAUAAAUUUAUACUCAGCUGGAAUUCCAGGUGUGAUGUACAUCCUCCAGUACUCAUUUGAUGAGUUCAAUUGGCUUGGGGAAGAAACAGUCAAGAUUUCAGGGAUAUAUGACUUUGUAGAGCAUUUCACCUGCCGAUAGUGAGGAACAGCCAUCAGAUUCUUCUCCCGGCUCGCUACAAUACCAAAUUCCUCAGUCAUGUCCAACUCGUUAGCUAGCAUGCCUUUCGGGAGUUCCCAAUCGAAGCAAUGCACCAACUGGGCUACCACUAGCCGAACUACUGUGAUUCCUAGCUGUAUUCCGGGGCAACUUCUUCUACCAGAACCAAAAGGAAUGAGCUCGAAAUCGUGUCCCCUAUAGUCUAUGUUGCUUCCUUCAAAUCUCUCUGGGAUGAAUUCUUCAGGGUCAAUCCACACAUUUGGGUCACGUCCGAUUGCCCAAACAUUUAUAACUAUUUCUGCCCUUUUCGGUAUGUGAAAGCCUUCAACCAAACAAUCCUCCCUUGCCUCGUGAGGGAGUAGUAAUGGUACCACAGGAUGAAGUCUAAGAGAUUCUUUUAUGACAAGUUCUAAGUAUUUUAAACCUUCCAAAUCAGACUCUUCCACCAUCCGGUUUAAGCCUACCUCACUUUUUAAUUCUUGUUGUACUUUCUUCAUUAUUUGUGGAUGUUUCAAAAGUUCUGACAUUGUCCACUCUAUCACUGUUGGGGAAGUGUCCAUUGAUGCUCCAAGUAAAUCCUACACAAAUGCAAAAAUUUUAUUAUUA
This is a long non-coding RNA of Ipomoea triloba (trilobed morning glory), 1379 nucleotides long. RefSeq lists it as uncharacterized. NCBI's taxonomy places the organism in Eukaryota, Viridiplantae, Streptophyta, Magnoliopsida, Solanales, Convolvulaceae. The transcript has 2 exons. The record is from RefSeq and is a predicted model, not a curated record.